GUAUAAGAGACAGCAGUCGCCGCGGGAAUACGGAGGGUGCAAGCGUUAAUCGGAAUUACUGGGCGUAAAGCGCACGCAGGCGGUCUGACAAGUCAGAUGUGAAAUCCCCGGGCUUAACCUGGGAACUGCAUUUGAAACUGUCAGGCUGGAGUCUUGUAGAGGGGGGUGGAAUUCCAGGUGUAGCGGUGAAAUGCGUAGAGAUCUGGAGGAAUACCGGUGGCGAAGGCGGCCCCCUGGACAAAGACUGACGCUCAGGUGCGAAAGCGUGGGGAGCAAACAGGAUUAGAUACCCCGGUAGUCCCUGUCUCUUAUAC
This 314-nucleotide ribosomal RNA is filed under the name uncultured bacterium. RNAcentral's name for it is "partial 16S ribosomal RNA". It matches the Rfam family "Bacterial small subunit ribosomal RNA", at positions 495 to 807 of the family's 1533-position model. The record is from RNAcentral.